UACCGAGCACAGCCGCGGGACACAGCCGGCCGGUCAACCUCUCCCUCUCCCUGUCCCGAGUCAUUCCGUUGCGCUGUUAUUUUACACCGCGCGCGCGUGUUUGACCGCGGACUCUCCCUCCUUCCUUCCCUCCCGUGUUCUCUCUUCUCUCGCUAUCGCUCUCCGCUGGCAGCGCGCGGCGAAAGUCUUCCCCGCUGCGCGCAACCCCGUUCAGACCGGGGAUCGGGGCAUUAAAACUUCCUUCCUACCACCAGUCAACUCUCCUCCUCCUCCUCCUCCACUGUGUUGUGUAUAUACUACUCCUACUCUGCUUGACCUGACCUGACCUGACUAGCGGUGAGCGCGGGGGCGGGCGUGGAACUUCCGAGAACUCGAGUUGCAAUUGCGGGAGACGGCGACCACGGGCAGGGCUGGUUGCACAAACUCCCCAUCUUGUGGUGAUUGUUGCGCCUCCCGGGGAAGAGUGGUGGAAACCACGAGGAGGAAGCAUCCAGGGAACGGGAAAGAUACAGAAACUCUGGAUUCUGGACCUGGUAUCAGUUUGGUGGUAGCUGGUAGAUAACUACUGCCUGGAAAUAUUGUGCUCCGGGUGAUGCCCUUGGUCUUUCUUGUUUGAUGGCAAGUGCAAACACAGGCGGCUUUCGCCUUGUGAGGUGCCCAAAGUGUCUUAACAUUCUACCUGAACCUGCAAAUGUUUCAGUCUACCAGUGCGGUGGAUGUAACACCACUCUUAGAGCUAAAAUCCGUGUCAGCGAUGCACAAAAUGUGGCUACCAAACAAGUUCGACAAGACUCUGGGGAUUACUCUGUUGUUCCCUCUGUGAGCAAUGGGGUGUCGACAAAACAAGUUCGGCAAGACUCUGGUAAUUACUCUGUUGUUACCUCUGUGAGCAAUGGGGUGUCUCCCCAAAGCAACGAACUGGGUUCCAUUGGUGCAGCUGCGGAUGAUUCCAUAACUCUUGGUGCUCCAAGCACCGAGAUCGAGCAAGAGGGCAAUGACAUCGGAAGCAGCGAGAAGGGUGAUAUUAUGUCAGAUGAGGAGAAUGUUAUGGACGUUGCAAAUACUGAAAGCAGCAAAGACGACAGUUCUGAUGGCCAGGACACCAAUGGAGAAGUAGAAGAUCUUGCUGCCCUUGUACAACCCAGUGGGAAUGGCACACAUAUAGUGGAUUCUGACAAAGAAGAGAACGACACGGUGGAGCAAAGUGCAGGGAAUAUAGAGGCUUGCGAGAUAAACGAAGAUGGUAAUAUGGAAAGCAGACUGAAUACCUCAGAACAGAACAUACCGUUAUCCGAGGAAAGAGAAUUAGCUAGCAAUUUGCCAGAAUCUGAGGAGAGUGGAGCACGCAAAACUGAACCCGCGGCAAGCAAGAGAAGCAAACUCGUAAGGGUGCAUUCUCAGUCUUGUGAUCUCCGAGAAGUGCCUGCAGUAUCAGUUGACUCCCUUGCUUUCCACUCUUCCCGGACUUCAUUCCAGUCAAAAAGCUUCAGGGCAAGCGAACCCCUUCAAUCGAAGAUUAUGAAGACGGUGGAUGAAUUGAAAGGUGACCUUUCUGAAAUCUUCAAUGAACCUUCAGAUUGCAAGCCAAGGGCACACCGUCCACAUCCGCUGAAACAAGAUGGUUACAGCCAACCUCUUACAGCUUAUCAUCCCGCCGUCAAGCAUUCUGGCUAUGCAUCUCGCCUGAGCAGGUCUGGCCAAGUUGCUCCCCAUGGCCAUGGACCGCCCUUACCGCGGUAUGGCCGGCGCAGCGCCUACUCAUACAUUCGCAGUGGGCAACUGGAAAUGAGACCUUGCCCUCACCAAUGCCACCACAGCUGCCGCCCACCUUGUUGCAGCUCCUGGAAACAAGAACCUGCACCGCAGAAGCCACCAGCUAUGGAGACAAAGCGGCGGCCUGCCUCGAGAAAUCUCUGCCGGCCAGUCCUACGGGGCGCGCCGUUCGUCCUUUGCUCGAACUGUCUGAGGCUCGUCCAGCUGCCCACCGAUUUUGCCAUUCCGAGCAGAGGAACACGCAGGCUGCAGUGUGGCUCCUGCGCGCAAGUUCUCUCCUACUCGUACAGAGACCCCAACAGAAAGAAACUUGAGUCACCAUUUGGGGGCGAUGAGUCCAGCACAGAUGACUCGGAAAUUCACCAGGUAGGCGAUGACCAUAACACUGGUGUCCAUCAAGCUGAACCAUACUCGUACUCGUACUCGGAAGAAUACGGCAUCUCGGCUGGUGUGAGCUAUUCUACCGAGGACGAACGGCCCCUGCAUGUGUCAAGGAACUCAUCUUUCAACACCAUUGAUGAAAGAAGUGGCAAGGAGUCUAAGCUUCAUCGGUUGAUGGGGUACUCUUCAGCGAGUGAGCUGAUGCGGCAUUCUCCUGAUCUGUAUGAGAGUUUCAGCAGACGAACGCCUAAUGCAAGAACAUAUGACGUGAAGGGGAAAGGCGUUUGCAUGACUGACGGUUCAGAUGCUAAACAUGGUGCGGUGAAGGGAUCAAAAGCAAAAGAGAGAAGAAUGGGCUUGCCAUUCCAAGGGAUGUUCAAGAAAGGGAUUCAUGGACUGGAAUCUCUCAAGCUCGGGUCAUAGGUAAUUUAACUUCGUUUGUCGGGACUCAGGAUUGGCGAGUUUAGGAGAAAGCAUACAUGCAGGGUGAGUUUUUGGAAUGAUGAUAGAGUGGUAGCUAUUACUGUAGUACUAGUAAGCAUUCUAAUGAAUGUGUGGGCUCACUUUAGUUGUCUGCCAUUCAUCUGUCUACAAGGCUCUACUUGUUUGGCGAUUAUGUGUGCUCUUUGAUGUGUGAUCAAAUUCUCGACGUUUGUGAUUGUAUGUAUAGACGAAGGAAUUUGUGCUUUAUUAGUUCUCCAUUUUGUUGGCUUUGAUCUUGACGGGGAGAUGUUGUGCCUUUUUACCCCAAGAAGACAACUGAAUCCUUGAAUUUGUUGGCUUUAUUAUCGCCC
This 2948-nucleotide ribosomal RNA is filed under the name Triticum aestivum (bread wheat). RNAcentral describes it as "partial small subunit ribosomal RNA". The record is from RNAcentral. Lineage: Eukaryota; Viridiplantae; Streptophyta; Magnoliopsida; Poales; Poaceae.